GGGGUGCUCGAGUGGCGAACGGGUGAGUAACACGUGAGUAACCUGCCCUUGACUUUGGGAUAACUUCAGGGAACUGGGGCUAAUACCGGAUAGGAGCUCCUGCUGCAUGGUGGGGGUUGGAAAGUUUCGGCGGUUGGGGAUGGACUCGCGGCUUAUCAGCUUGUUGGUGGGGUAGUGGCUUACCAAGGCUUUGACGGGUAGCCGGCCUGAGAGGGUGACCGGCCACAUUGGGACUGAGAUACGGCCCAG
RNAcentral lists this ribosomal RNA (249 nucleotides) under uncultured Actinomycetales bacterium. Its description in RNAcentral is "partial 16S ribosomal RNA". It matches the Rfam family "Bacterial small subunit ribosomal RNA", at positions 84 to 334 of the family's 1533-position model. Lineage: Bacteria; Bacillati; Actinomycetota; Actinomycetes; Actinomycetales. The record is from RNAcentral.